AUUGAACGCUGGCGGCAGGCCUAACACAUGCAAGUCGAACGAGUGGCGGACGGGUGAGAAAUGUCUGGGAAACUGCCUGAUGGAGGGGGAUAACUACUGGAAACGGUAGCAAAUACCGCAUACCAUCGGAUGCCCCCAGAUGGGAUUAGCUAGUAGGUGGGGUAACGGCGCACCUAGGCGACGAUCCCUAGCUGGUCUGAGAGGAUGACCAGCCACACUGGAACUGAGACACGGCCCAGACUCCUACGGGAGGCAGCAGUGGGGAAUAUUGCACAAUGGGCGCAAGCCGGAUGCAGCCAUGCCGCGUGUAUGAAGAAGGCCUUCGGGUUGUAAAGUACUUUCAGCGGGGAGGCGUUACCCGCAGAAGAAGCACCGGCUAACUCCGUGCCAGCAGCCGCGGUAAUUC
RNAcentral lists this ribosomal RNA (406 nucleotides) under uncultured bacterium. Its description in RNAcentral is "partial 16S ribosomal RNA". It matches the Rfam family "Bacterial small subunit ribosomal RNA", at positions 29 to 526 of the family's 1533-position model. The record is from RNAcentral.